This is a non-coding RNA of Amborella trichopoda, 1189 nucleotides long. NCBI's taxonomy places the organism in Eukaryota, Viridiplantae, Streptophyta, Magnoliopsida, Amborellales, Amborellaceae. The record is from RefSeq and is a predicted model, not a curated record.
GCUAAUCUAUUUUAUUCUUUUAAGCUAAUCUGUUUUUAAGUUUUUGUUUUUAUCUUUCAUGAUUCAUGAUCAUGGUGGUUCAGAUUUUUUGCAAGUGAAAUUCUAGAUCGAAAACCCAUCUUUAUGAUGGAUUUUUGGAAGGGGACACAUUUGAAUAGCAAUGCACAAAAAGCUUUUAGAUGUAUAUGGGUUUUAAGAAUUGGUGCUGCCUUCUUUGUAGAAGGGAGCAGGAAGAUGGGAAGCGUUUUGUGUGGGACAGAUUAGUCGGAUGAGUGGGAUAUUGGGGUUAGGAACGUAUGGAAAAGGAGAAGAAAUUGAAAGAUGGAAUAUUGGGCAUGUACAUGAUUCAGGCAGAUCCACUUGAACUCGCCCGAAUUACUCAUUUGGGCAGGGGCUGCUGCCAAGUCCCGUGCCUGAUCCAAGUUUUUUAUCAUUGAUAGUGAAAGCUUAAAGCGUGCAAUGACAUUCACUUGUUUAAGUGAAGUAUCUGAUGAUGACAUGAGAUUGUUUUGGAUCAGCUUGCUCAGCGUUCGAGAUGGGAAAGAUGAUGCAGUUUAUGGUGAUAGUGUUAUGGAGAGUUAUAUUACUCUGCUGUAAUCUUUAACUUUUUAUCAUUAAUACUAAUCUAUUGACCCUAAAACAUUAAUAUUUUAGGGUUCUGGUAAACAAGAGAGCAUAAUAACCACCAAGCUAAUGUAAUAAACUAAUUGAGAUGCUAUUGCUGAUCCAUUAGUCGAUUAGAUACGUUUGACAUGGAUCUUUUUGUUUUGGAUAGUAAAAUUUUGUAUGCACCUAAUGCAAAACCUACUACUGAUGGACUUUGAACAGCUAUGAUUCAAGUCAACAGAUAUGUGGAGCUCGUAUUGUUUUGAUUAAUUUGCACACUCAUUAUGUUUUACAUUUUAGUUGCCUAUGUACUUUCACUUUGGAUCACAGUGAUUAAGAUUGGAAGAGACAAGCUGGUUCGACUAGUCGGGACUGUCGAUUAGUGCUUUAGUUGGUAUGCUCCAAAGUAAAAACCGUCCAACGCUUUCAUACGGUGGUCAGACUGUCUUCAAUUGUACCAUACCCCUCAUCAGUUUGGUGACUUCUCCUAUCCUGGCUGUUGAAACAAAUGUUGAAAGUGGUGCUGCCUGGUCCCCAAAACCCAAAAAUGGUUUAUGGGUUACCUUUUGGAGUAGCCAGUCGA